CGCUCCCAGGCCUUGUACACACCGCCCGUCACAUCAUGAAAGCCGCUUGUACCCGAAGUCGGCCCCUUAAAAGGUGCCGAAGGUAUGGGUGGUGAUUGGGAGUG
RNAcentral lists this ribosomal RNA (104 nucleotides) under uncultured bacterium. Its description in RNAcentral is "partial 16S ribosomal RNA". The record is from RNAcentral.